This 320-nucleotide long non-coding RNA is filed under the name Gossypium barbadense (sea-island cotton). RNAcentral describes it as "long non-coding RNA (GBAR_LNC021303)". The record is from RNAcentral. Lineage: Eukaryota; Viridiplantae; Streptophyta; Magnoliopsida; Malvales; Malvaceae.
UUCAAUGGCGUUUUUUUGGCUGAUAAUUAUGAAGAAUUACCUAGAAACUCUUUUAAUUGAGAUUUUUUUUAUUUGUUAACUUUUACAAAAUUUCCAAUUUUACCCUUAUUACAUCACUUUUCCAGAUUUUUCUUGCCCAACCGUCCAGCCCAUAUAAUUUGGGCCUAAUUUCCUUUUAAAUCCCUCCUUUUUAAUCACUUAAGCUAUUUAAUCACAAUUUAACAAAUUUUACACUAUUUUCAAUUUAGUCCUUUUUAGUUAAUUAACUAUCCGAACGUUAAAAUUUUCUAACGAAACUUUAAUACCAACUCAAUGACACU